RNAcentral lists this long non-coding RNA (1047 nucleotides) under Homo sapiens (human). RNAcentral's name for it is "HSALNT0092725". Lineage: Eukaryota; Metazoa; Chordata; Mammalia; Primates; Hominidae. The record is from RNAcentral.
ACACAUGUUGGCAAUAGGAAGAGGUUAUUUUUCCACAAGUCAUAUUAAAGAUGACUGGGUGUUGACACAAUACAGAAAAUCGCUGGUGAAGGAUUUUAACCUUCUUUAGCAAUGAGCAGGUCACCUCAUGGAAAGAUAGGACAGAGUUUUCUGAAAUCUUCCCAGGAGCUUAACGAAUGGAUUUGAGCAUGAUUAUAAAAAUGGCUGCAUAAAUAUUUUUCUUUGCUCAUUUCAGAGCAUGGUAAUCAGAAAGGCUCUUUGAAAACCAUAUUUUUAUCUGCACCUCAGAUUCAUCCAUACCCAUUAGCUGCUUAAUUAGGCGAAACAAACUUUAAGUUGCAUGCCAGGGGCUUAAUUUAAUUUGCCUGGGAUAAGCAGUUGGCCAUAGCUGUGAAGCCUUGUGUUUUUAGAAAUUAUACUAGAGUAUUGAAGCAAAAACUCUUAAAAUACAGUGUGGAAAUUGAAGCAGACCGUAGUUCAUAUUGUGUGGGAAAUUUAAAGAGGUCUAAUAGCCAGUAAGCAGGUAUGUGAGUCACAUCUCCCUGAUGUUGUUCACAUUCCAGUUGCUUGUUUUUUCACUCUAGUCCUGUGGAUUCUAAAGUAGUACAACUCAAGUGACAUCAGUUCAUGAAGACAAAAGAAGCUUUUUGUUUGAUUUUGGCUGGGUGGGUGUUUUGUUCAGGCAAGUAUUGAGCAGAAGAAAAAAUGUCUUUAUAAAUCCUUAGCUUAAUGGAUUUUUAAAAAAUCAAAUGUAAAUUCUAUUAAACUACUUUUCAGUUAUCACAUAAUUUACUUAGGCAUUUCUGCAUAGCAAAAUAUAUUUGGUCUAAAUGCAAAGGGAAAAAAGUGAUUUAACUUUGCAAGAAACUGUUCCUUUGUUUUUUUAAAAAUAAGUAUUUUUAAAUUUUAUGGGUACAUAGUAGAUGUAUUAUUUAUGAGGCACUUGAGUUAUUUUGAUAUAGGCAUACAAUAUGUAAUAAUCACCUCAGGGUAAAUGGAGUAUCCAUCACCUCAAGCAUUUAUCAUUGCUUUGGGUUACAAACAUAC